UACAGAGGGGGCAAGCGUUGUUCGGAAUUACUGGGCGUAAAGGGCGCGUAGGCGGCCUGCUAAGUCGAGCGUGAAAUCCCUGGGCUCAACCCAGGAACUGCGUCCGAUACUGGUUGGCUUGAAUCCGGGAGAGGGACGUGGAAUUCCAGGUGUAGCGGUGAAAUGCGUAGAUAUCUGGAGGAACACCGGUGGCGAAGGCGACGUCCUGGACCGGCAUUGACGCUGAGGCGCGAAAGCCAGGGGAGCAAACGGG
This 253-nucleotide ribosomal RNA is filed under the name uncultured bacterium. RNAcentral's name for it is "partial 16S ribosomal RNA". It matches the Rfam family "Bacterial small subunit ribosomal RNA", at positions 524 to 776 of the family's 1533-position model. The record is from RNAcentral.